CGAUUCCCUUAGUAGCGGCGAGCGAAACGGGAAGAGCCCAAACCAACAAGCUUGCUUGUUGGGGUUGUAGGACACUCUAUACGGAGUUACAAAGGACGACAUUAGACGAAUCAUCUGGAAAGAUGAAUCAAAGAAGGUAAUAAUCCUGUAGUCGAAAAUGUUGUCUCUCUUGAGUGGAUCCUGAGUACGACGGAGCACGUGAAAUUCCGUCGGAAUCUGGGAGGACCAUCUCCUAAGGCUAAAUACUCUCUAGUGACCGAUAGUGAACCAGUACCGUGAGGGAAAGGUGAAAAGCACCCCGGAAGGGGAGUGAAAUAGAACCUGAAACCGUGUGCUUACAAGUAGUCAGAGCCCGUUAAUGGGUGAUGGCGUGCCUUUUGUAGAAUGAACCGGCGAGUUACGAUUUGAUGCAAGGUUAAGCAGUAAAUGUGGAGCCGUAGCGAAAGCGAGUCUGAAUAGGGCGUUUAGUAUUUGGUCGUAGACCCGAAACCAGGUGAUCUACCCUUGGUCAGGUUGAAGUUCAGGUAACACUGAAUGGAGGACCGAACCGACUUACGUUGAAAAGUGAGCGGAUGAACUGAGGGUAGCGGAGAAAUUCCAAUCGAACCUGGAGAUAGCUGGUUCUCUCCGAAAUAGCUUUAGGGCUAGCCUCAAGUGAUGAUUAUUGGAGGUAGAGCACUGUUUGGACGAGGGGCCCCUCUCGGGUUACCGAAUUCAGACAAACUCCGAAUGCCAAUUAAUUUAACUUGGGAGUCAGAACAUGGGUGAUAAGGUCCGUGUUCGAAAGGGAAACAGCCCAGACCACCAGCUAAGGUCCCAAAAUAUAUGUUAAGUGGAAAAGGAUGUGGCGUUGCCCAGACAACUAGGAUGUUGGCUUAGAAGCAGCCAUCAUUUAAAGAGUGCGUAAUAGCUCACUAGUCGAGUGACACUGCGCCGAAAAUGUACCGGGGCUAAACAUAUUACCGAAGCUGUGGAUUGUCCUUUGGACAAUGGUAGGAGAGCGUUCUAAGGGCGUUGAAGCAUGAUCGUAAGGACAUGUGGAGCGCUUAGAAGUGAGAAUGCCGGUGUGAGUAGCGAAAGACGGGUGAGAAUCCCGUCCACCGAUUGACUAAGGUUUCCAGAGGAAGGCUCGUCCGCUCUGGGUUAGUCGGGUCCUAAGCUGAGGCCGACAGGCGUAGGCGAUGGAUAACAGGUUGAUAUUCCUGUACCACCUAUAAUCGUUUUAAUCGAUGGGGGGACGCAGUAGGAUAGGCGAAGCGUGCGAUUGGAUUGCACGUCUAAGCAGUAAGGCUGAGUAUUAGGCAAAUCCGGUACUCGUUAAGGCUGAGCUGUGAUGGGGAGAAGACAUUGUGUCUUCGAGUCGUUGAUUUCACACUGCCGAGAAAAGCCUCUAGAUAGAAAAUAGGUGCCCGUACCGCAAACCGACACAGGUAGUCAAGAUGAGAAUUCUAAGGUGAGCGAGCGAACUCUCGUUAAGGAACUCGGCAAAAUGACCCCGUAACUUCGGGAGAAGGGGUGCUCUUUAGGGUUAACGCCCAGAAGAGCCGCAGUGAAUAGGCCCAAGCGACUGUUUAUCAAAAACACAGGUCUCUGCUAAACCGUAAGGUGAUGUAUAGGGGCUGACGCCUGCCCGGUGCUGGAAGGUUAAGAGGAGUGGUUAGCUUCUGCGAAGCUACGAAUCGAAGCCCCAGUAAACGGCGGCCGUAACUAUAACGGUCCUAAGGUAGCGAAAUUCCUUGUCGGGUAAGUUCCGACCCGCACGAAAGGCGUAACGAUUUGGGCACUGUCUCAACGAGAGACUCGGUGAAAUCAUAGUAC
Molecule: ribosomal RNA, 1818 nt
Filed under: Staphylococcus aureus
Lineage: Bacteria; Bacillati; Bacillota; Bacilli; Caryophanales; Staphylococcaceae
Description: partial 23S ribosomal RNA
Rfam family: Bacterial large subunit ribosomal RNA
Source: RNAcentral